UAAACUUAAUGUAAAUUUAAAUGUUAAUCUGCCGAGGUACAGCUCUGCAGAAUAAGACUACAACCUUGAUUAGAGAGUAAGUUUACCUUAUAACCAUAGUUGGCCUAAAAGCAGCCAUCAAUUAAGAAAGCGUUCAAGCUCAACAUUCCUAAUUAAAAUAAAUUCCAAACAUAUAUUAUAAUCUCCUACCUUAAUACUGGAUCAUUCUACAACUUCGUAGAAGAGAUACUGUUAAUAUGAGUAACAAGAUUUUAUAUCUCCUUACAUAAGUGUAUAUCAACCCAAAUAAUUUCUGAUAGUUAACAAAUUAACUAAGUCUAAUUAAUAAAUUUAUUUCUUCCCAUUAGCAUUGUUAACCCAACACUGGCAUGUACUUAAGGAAAGAUUAAAAAAAGUAAAAGGAACUCGGCAAUCACAAACCCCGCCUGUUUACCAAAAACAUCACUUCUAGCAUUAAUAGUAUUAGAGGCACUGCCUGCCCAGUGACAUUAGUUAAACGGCCGCGGUAUCCUGACCGUGCAAAGGUAGCAUAAUCAUUUGUUCCUUAAUUAGGGACUUGUAUGAAUGGCUUGACGAGGGUUUAACUGUCUCUUACUUUCAAUCAGUGAAAUUGACCUUCCCGUGAAGAGGCGGGAAUAAAUUAAUAAGACGAGAAGACCCUAUGGAGCUUAAAUUAAACUAUUCAAUUUAUAUAAAUUUUACCCUACGGGAUCAAUUCCACAAAAUCUGAAUAAUAAAUUUUGGUUGGGGUGACCUCGGAGUACAAAACAACCUCCGAGAUAUACAGCUAAGACUUACCCGUCAAAGCACCUUUUAUUAUUGAUCCAAUUACAUUGAUCAACGGAUCAAGUUACCCUAGGGAUAACAGCGCAAUCCUAUUUAAGAGUUCAUAUCGACAAUAGGGUUUACGACCUCGAUGUUGGAUCAGGACACCCAAAUGGUGCAGCAGCUAUUAAAGGUUCGUUU
RNAcentral lists this ribosomal RNA (966 nucleotides) under Sylvisorex johnstoni (Johnston's Forest Shrew). RNAcentral describes it as "partial 16S ribosomal RNA". It matches the Rfam family "Bacterial large subunit ribosomal RNA", at positions 961 to 2578 of the family's 2925-position model. The record is from RNAcentral. Lineage: Eukaryota; Metazoa; Chordata; Mammalia; Eulipotyphla; Soricidae.